AGUGAACGCUGGCGGUAGGCCUAACACAUGCAAGUCGAACGGCAGCACAGUAAGAGCUUGCUCUUACGGGUGGCGAGUGGCGGACGGGUGAGGAAUACAUCGGAAUCUACUUUUUCGUGGGGGAUAACGUAGGGAAACUUACGCUAAUACCGCAUACGACCUACGGGUGAAAGCAGGGGAUCUUCGGACCUUGCGCGAUUGAAUGAGCCGAUGUCGGAUUAGCUAGUUGGCGGGGUAAAGGCCCACCAAGGCGACGAUCCGUAGCUGGUCUGAGAGGAUGAUCAGCGACACUGGAGCUGAGACAGGGACCAGACUCCUACGGGAGGCAGCAGUGGGGAAUAUUGGACAAUGGGCGCAAGCCUGAUCCAGCCAUACCGCGUGGGUGAAGAAGGCCUUCGGGUUGUAAAGCCCUUUUGUUGGGAAAGAAAAGCAGCAGGUUAAUACCCCGCUGUUCUGACGGUACCCAAAGAAUAAGCACCGGCUAACUUCGUG
RNAcentral lists this ribosomal RNA (492 nucleotides) under uncultured bacterium. RNAcentral describes it as "partial 16S ribosomal RNA". It matches the Rfam family "Bacterial small subunit ribosomal RNA", at positions 29 to 507 of the family's 1533-position model. The record is from RNAcentral.